RNAcentral lists this ribosomal RNA (830 nucleotides) under Salmonella enterica. RNAcentral's name for it is "partial 23S ribosomal RNA". It matches the Rfam family "Bacterial large subunit ribosomal RNA", at positions 2092 to 2916 of the family's 2925-position model. The record is from RNAcentral. Lineage: Bacteria; Pseudomonadati; Pseudomonadota; Gammaproteobacteria; Enterobacterales; Enterobacteriaceae.
CGUGAACCUUUACUAUAGCUUGACACUGAACAUUGAGCCUUGAUGUGUAGGAUAGGUGGGAGGCUUUGAAGCGUGGACGCCAGUCUGCGUGGAGCCGACCUUGAAAUACCACCCUUUAAUGUUUGAUGUUCUAACGUGGACCCGUAAUCCGGGUUGCGGACAGUGUCUGGUGGGUAGUUUGACUGGGGCGGUCUCCUCCUAAAGAGUAACGGAGGAGCACGAAGGUUGGCUAAUCCUGGUCGGACAUCAGGAGGUUAGUGCAAUGGCAUAAGCCAGCUUGACUGCGAGCGUGACGGCGCGAGCAGGUGCGAAAGCAGGUCAUAGUGAUCCGGUGGUUCUGAAUGGAAGGGCCAUCGCUCAACGGAUAAAAGGUACUCCGGGGAUAACAGGCUGAUACCGCCCAAGAGUUCAUAUCGACGGCGGUGUUUGGCACCUCGAUGUCGGCUCAUCACAUCCUGGGGCUGAAGUAGGUCCCAAGGGUAUGGCUGUUCGCCAUUUAAAGUGGUACGCGAGCUGGGUUUAGAACGUCGUGAGACAGUUCGGUCCCUAUCUGCCGUGGGCGCUGGAAGACUGAGGGGGGCUGCUCCUAGUACGAGAGGACCGGAGUGGACGCAUCACUGGUGUUCGGGUUGUCAUGCCAAUGGCACUGCCCGGUAGCUAAAUGCGGAAAAGAUAAGUGCUGAAAGCAUCUAAGCACGAAACUUGCCCCGAGAUGAGUCUUCCCUGAGACUUUGAGUCUCCUGAAGGAACGUUAAAGACGAUGACGUUGAUAGGCCGGGUGUGUAAGCGCAGCGAUGCGUUGAGCUAACCGGUACUAAUGAACCGUGAGG